This is a non-coding RNA of Monodelphis domestica (gray short-tailed opossum), 1968 nucleotides long. NCBI's taxonomy places the organism in Eukaryota, Metazoa, Chordata, Mammalia, Didelphimorphia, Didelphidae. The record is from RefSeq and is a predicted model, not a curated record.
UGGAUCCAGAAAGAAAGUUUUGGUAAUUUUCCCACGUUGUAUAAGAGUUGUCCUUAUCUGAGCUGGUGGGGCUGUCAUGAGGAAAGGAGAGAAAUGAGGGCAAACAGCGAACAGAGAGGAUUUUGCAAGGAGAGGAGCGUGCUGGACCUGCUGUGGAACUGACGAGGUUGAGUUCCGGGAUGCGGGGAACGGAUAAAAGUGAGCACCAGCUGGGACUGGGGCCGCCUCUGACUUCCUGUUGCUGCGCCGGGCUGAUGCUGAAACCCCCUCCAGCUCCAUCUCUGAGAGCCGAGGAGGGCUUUUCCCUGCAGCCAAAGCCACCAGCUCUGCCGUUCCUAUCUGGAGAAGCCUUCAUCGCUUGGGAGUCCACCGUGUUUCCUACGUCCUGAGUGUGUUCUCAACUGCUCUGGAGCUCUGUGCCCCACGAGCCAGGCCAACGGCCUGUGGUGGGAAGGCCUGGAGCCCACCUACUUGGGGAGAACUCUAACAUAGAAACUGCUCUGAAGAGCUGCUCAUCCUACCAAAGUAAUCUGGGAGGAGCAAUAGGUAGCGAGACAGCCGGCGACCCUUGGACAGAGCAGGGAUUUACGGAGCUCUGAAGAAAACCCAAGAAAUCCCCACGCAGGGAUCUAGAGUGCCCAAACCUGCUCUGGUGCUUGAGACCGAGAGUAUCCAUAUCCUGACUCUUGUAUUUCGGCUUUGCUCUCAUUGGUUGCCCAGCCCAGCCCAUAGCUCAUGAAGGUCUUAUGGCAUGUGGUCCUUGGAGAUAGCCAUACACCCAGACGGACCUUGGAGAUAAUCGGCCCAAACUCACAGCUUCAUUACAUCUCAGACCCACAGGGAUAGGGAUGUAUUUGAUGUCCUCGUUCGUCCCAUUAAUUCCAUUUCCAUGAUGCAGAACUCUGAAGACUCUCCCUGAUAAGAAGUUCUUGCCCUCCUCCUGCCUUGCUCCUUCUAAGCCGAGUCUUUGAUCUCACUGGAUUUCUAGUUGUUCUACAUUUCCUUGUCAUUCAAGUUGAUUCAGCGUGUUCAAAAGAGGUGUUUGUUGUAAGAAACUUGGGCUGCCAAGAGGUGGCCUUGAGAAGAGACAGCAUCUCAGACAACAGGCGGUGGCAUAAAGUAGGGGAGAGUAUCAUAAGAAGCCAGCGGCUGUCCAGCUUGGUUGAAGUGGACGAAGAGGAGGAACGUGAAAUACAGCUGGAAAUGGACACUCAAGUAGGCAAUCAUUCACCUAGGACUUCUCUCAGUGACGGCAGAAGAUUUGAUCUGAAAGGGAGACCAGAAUUUAAGUUUCUCAUUUUAUAAAUGAGGAAACUGAGUGAAGAAACGGAGUUCCAAGUGGGGCAAAAUCUCUUCCGAAGGGGAAACUACUAGGAAAUGGCUGAGCCCAAACUCAAACUAAUCCCUCCCUCUUGGACUAGUCCAUGUUCUUUCUACCCUACAAUACCACGUGCCCAUUUUGGUCCAGUAAUUUAGUGGUGCUUACAAGCCUGCGGUCUCCAUUGCCAUUUUACCCACGUGGGAAUGGUGGUACAAAGAGGAUGAAUAUUUUGCCAAGUUGGCAGAACUUAUUGAUGGCCGAGCUGGCACUUGAACUCAUGGCUGCAAAUCUGUUAGCCAGAGUUCUUGAACCUGCCAUAAGGAAAUCGGGGAGAUCUGGAGAGAGGGAACCAGAAUCUGGACUACUUCAUCUGUUAUCCCCCGACUAGAAAAACAAAAUUCUCCAUGAGUAUUACCGGUUAUCCAUCUAUAGUUCCUUUAGGCAUUGUACGAAUGUUCUCAUCUUCAAGGAGAAUUCAAAUCAGAGGUCAUCGGCAAUGCUAGACCAGGUCACUCAGCGCGGGAUUGUAUUGUGGGGCUCCCAACCUUUGGUUUUGUCAUGUUAGGCACAAUUCAGUUGCUUUUCUAUUCCCCCAAUUUCGUCGUCCUGUGCUCUACAAUUCAAUAAAACAGUCAGUCAACAAGCAA